CUACGGGCGGCUCCAGUGGGGAAUAUUGCGCAAUGGAGGAAACUCUGACGCAGCCAUGCCGCGUGUAUGAAGAAGGCCUUCGGGUUGUAAAGUACUUUUAACUGUCAAAAUAGUGAUGGUAGCAGUAGAAAAAGUCCCGGCUAAUUCCGUGCCAGCAGCCGCGGUAAUACGGAAGGGGCAAACGUUGUUCGGAUUCACUGGGCGUAAAGCGACCGCAGGCGGUUUAUUAAGUCAGAUGUGAAAUCCCCGUGCUCAACAUGGGAACUGCAUUUGAAACUGGUAAACUAGAGUUCGAGAGAGGAAAAUGGAAUUCCAAGUGUAGAGGUGAAAUUCGUAGAUAUUUGGAGGAACGUCAGAGGCGAAGGCGAUUUUCUGGCUCGAUACUGACGCUCAGGGUCGAAAGCGUGGGGAGCAAACAGGAUUAGAUACCCCCGUAGUC
This 439-nucleotide ribosomal RNA is filed under the name uncultured bacterium. RNAcentral's name for it is "partial 16S ribosomal RNA". It matches the Rfam family "Bacterial small subunit ribosomal RNA", at positions 339 to 795 of the family's 1533-position model. The record is from RNAcentral.